UACAGAGGGGGCAAGCGUUAUUCGGAAUUAUUGGGCGUAAAGGGCUCGUAGGUGGCCAACUAAGUCAGACGUGAAAUCCCUCAGCUUAACUGGGGAACUGCGUCUGAUACUGGAUGGCUUGAGUUUGGGAGAGGGAUGCGGAAUUCCAGGUGUAGCGGUGAAAUGCGUAGAUAUCUGGAGGAACACCGGUGGCGAAGGCGGCAUCCUGGACCAACACUGACACUGAUGAGCGAAAGCCAGGGGAGCAAACGGG
Molecule: ribosomal RNA, 253 nt
Filed under: uncultured bacterium
Lineage: Bacteria
Description: partial 16S ribosomal RNA
Rfam family: Bacterial small subunit ribosomal RNA
Source: RNAcentral